Long non-coding RNA from Neopsephotus bourkii (Bourke's parrot), 851 nucleotides. RefSeq lists it as uncharacterized. The transcript is spliced from 4 exons. The record is from RefSeq and is a predicted model, not a curated record. Lineage: Eukaryota; Metazoa; Chordata; Aves; Psittaciformes; Psittacidae.
AGUGAAGAGGUAGGUGACUGCAUGUUUUGUAUGAUUGCAGAGACUGGAAACACAUCUGUAGCCACAUAUAUGUAUAGCUACAUGCAGCCCUAAUAGGAUGACUCUAAAUCCUUCAAACCUUUGCCUUUUGCUGGAUCAAAAUGAAGAUCUAUUGUGCUGAAUGCCUGUAGCUGGAAGUGUGUUUCUGUGCUGCAUAUUAAUCACCAAGGUGUAAAGACUUGAAUGCCAAUAGGCACAUGUGUUGUUUGGUGUUAUAGCACUCAGGUAUGAAUCUGCCCCUGGGAUCCUGAUGCUUUUCCAGUGUACACUUGAUGUACUGGGAAUACGGACCAUUCCACAUUCGUAUCUGGGUAUUUCUGUGCCUUCACCUGAUUGAAUACACAGGAGCCUGUGGUACAAUUCAGAGAAGAGCAAUAUUCCCUGUCUCAAUCCAGAUUGGCAGUGCUAAGAAAACGCUGGAGUAUCCAGAGCCCACAGUUUGCCUGUGUCUGCAGCUGAUGAGAGCAGAUAUCACUAAGAUGACAUCCGUGUCACAAACAAUUCCUCUGGUCCUGCAUAAAUCAUUGGUCAGAGGAGGGACUUUGACUAUGACUCUCAGCAUGCUGGCAUGCUUUCAGCUCAGCCAGAUACAUGAGCCAAGCAGGAAUUAUCAGGCAUUCCAUAGGUACAGGCAGUUCAAUCACAGGAGUUCAGUCAUGAGAAAAGGACAUGCAAUAAAGAGAGAAUAAACAAACAGUGAUGUAUGAGGGAACUGAAGGAAGAAUAGACAUGAACUCAACCCCAUUGUUUGCUUUCCUUUGUGCUUUUUCCACCUGGAUACAGAGGAAUGUGUGCCAACAGAGCUGAUGGGA